UACGUAGGUCCCGAGCGUUGUCCGGAUUUAUUGGGCGUAAGGCGAGCGCAGGUGGUUUAUUAAGUCUGGUGUAAAAGGCAGUGGCUCAACCAUUGUAUGCAUUGGAAACUGGUAGACUUGAGUGCAGGAGAGGAGAGUGGAAUUCCAUGUGUAGCGGUGAAAUGCGUAGAUAUAUGGAGGAACACCGGUGGCGAAGGCGGCCUGCUGGACUGCAACUGACGUUGAGGCCCGAAAGCGUGGGGAGCAAACAGG
RNAcentral lists this ribosomal RNA (252 nucleotides) under uncultured bacterium. Its description in RNAcentral is "partial 16S ribosomal RNA". It matches the Rfam family "Bacterial small subunit ribosomal RNA", at positions 524 to 776 of the family's 1533-position model. The record is from RNAcentral.